RNAcentral lists this RNase MRP RNA (459 nucleotides) under Fusarium langsethiae. RNAcentral's name for it is "RNase MRP". It matches the Rfam family "RNase MRP". Rfam says of the family: RNase MRP is an enzymatically active ribonucleoprotein with two distinct roles in eukaryotes. In mitochondria it plays a direct role in the initiation of mitochondrial DNA replication. The record is from Rfam by way of RNAcentral. Lineage: Eukaryota; Fungi; Ascomycota; Sordariomycetes; Hypocreales; Nectriaceae.
CCCUCGCUCAAUAGAUCGCUAUUCGAAGCUCACAAACAGAGACGCUGUGACUUAUCACAGCGUCUCGAUCACUCUUUAUGGCUUUGGGAGAAAGUCCCCGGACGUCUUCGUUUCGACGGAGUUUGCGGAAACGCGCCGCCAUAGAAGCACUGCGGUUGACCUUUGUGCCCAGGCCCUCGCCCUGCGCUGGCCCUGCCCUCCGCUACAUCUACCUUUGUCAAAGGCCUUUGUCUCACCGUCUUCGCUCCCCUCGGUCCCCUUGGAUGAAGAUAUGAGUCCGCUGUCGAGGUGCGGGCGAGUUCUGGACGGACGGGGUUGUCUGGCAGGUGGAUGGUGGGUAGACGCUUAGUGCUCGUGCGUGUGGUGUCGGGUCGCUUAGGAUUUUUUGUCGAGAUUGACAGGUAUGCGAUUGCCCGGCGAAAGCUGGGUUACUCAAUGGGGCUCAUUCUUGAUGCGAGG